RNAcentral lists this transfer RNA (73 nucleotides) under Morus notabilis. It matches the Rfam family "tRNA". From Rfam's summary of the family: Transfer RNA (tRNA) molecules are approximately 80 nucleotides in length. Their secondary structure includes four short double-helical elements and three loops (D, anti-codon, and T loops). The record is from Rfam by way of RNAcentral. Lineage: Eukaryota; Viridiplantae; Streptophyta; Magnoliopsida; Rosales; Moraceae.
GGUCCCAUGAUCCAGUGGUCAAGAACAUUGGACUCUGAAUCCAGUAACCCGAGUUCCAAUUUCGGUGGGACGU